GAGAAUAGUCUGAGAGGGAGAGAUUGGAAGGUCGUUUUUAAGCUUGAGAACGGUAAUAGACAUCCAGGUGGAGAUGACUAGGCGGCAGAUGAGUCCGGAGUUCAGGGCAGCUCUCCAUCGAUAUUUCUAGCUCGCUUUGUCUACAGUCAUGAGCAGUUGAACAUCAGAUACUCAGAGUGACAUCAGGUUAAAAAAAAAGCCUGCAAUUUGGAUCUUUUCCUGCCUCAGAAGCAAGGAAAAUGGACAAUUGAUAAUCAAAGGCUAAAUCUAUUCUGGGAUCCACUGAAUGCCACUAGCGGGUCUGCUCGAGAGAAUUCCUGAUUGAAUGACAACGGCGCUAAGAACA
Molecule: small RNA, 346 nt
Filed under: Pongo abelii (Sumatran orangutan)
Lineage: Eukaryota; Metazoa; Chordata; Mammalia; Primates; Hominidae
Description: processed transcript
Source: RNAcentral